This 72-nucleotide transfer RNA is filed under the name Plestiodon copei. RNAcentral describes it as "tRNA-Ile". It matches the Rfam family "tRNA". From Rfam's summary of the family: Transfer RNA (tRNA) molecules are approximately 80 nucleotides in length. Their secondary structure includes four short double-helical elements and three loops (D, anti-codon, and T loops). Lineage: Eukaryota; Metazoa; Chordata; Lepidosauria; Squamata; Scincidae. The record is from RNAcentral.
AGGGAAGUGUGCCCGAAACCCAGGGACUACUUUGAUAGAGUAGGUCACAGAGGUUAAAAUCCUCUCAUUUCC